Suricata suricatta (meerkat) is the source of this 357-nucleotide long non-coding RNA. RefSeq lists it as uncharacterized. The record is from RefSeq and is a predicted model, not a curated record. The transcript has 3 exons. Lineage: Eukaryota; Metazoa; Chordata; Mammalia; Carnivora; Herpestidae.
AAAUCAAGGAGCCAUGUGAUAGCUGGAGUACACAAUAUGUAUAUUGUUAGAAUUAAAAAGCAGAAGACUGGAGGUUUUCUCUUUGGAGAGGGUGAAUCUGACAGGUUUGGGGCACAACUGGCACAGCAGCUACUUAAUGAAAGUUUAUGAGAAUGAGGGGCCUCCCAUGUCAGAGUUGGUGACCUUGAGCGUUCCCAGUUUGCCAGGUGGUGAAGAAAGCAUGAUUGAAAUGAUUGCCUGCGAAGAUCCCUCUCAGCUCAAAUCAAAACUUACGAUGGUUCUGCAUUUGUCUUUUUCAAAGCGCAAUUGGGCAGUGGCGUUUGGUAAAUCAAAAUAAAAGACAAAAGUAAAAAUAAA